This 252-nucleotide ribosomal RNA is filed under the name uncultured bacterium. Its description in RNAcentral is "partial 16S ribosomal RNA". It matches the Rfam family "Bacterial small subunit ribosomal RNA", at positions 524 to 775 of the family's 1533-position model. The record is from RNAcentral.
UACAGAGGGUGCGAGCGUUAAUCGGAAUUACUGGGCGUAAAGCGUGCGUAGACGGUUAGAUAAGUCGGGUGUGAAAGCCCCGGGCUCAACCUGGGAAUUGCAUUCGAGACUGUUUAGCUAGGGUACGGAAGAGGGAAGCGGAAUUUCAGGUGUAGCGGUGAAAUGCGUAGAUAUCGGGAGGAACACCUGUGGCGAAAGCGGCGCACUGGACCAUAACUGACGCUGAGGCGCGAAAGCUAGGGGAGCAAACAG